GGACAUGUACUUUUAGGUUAUUAAAGU
RNAcentral lists this small RNA (27 nucleotides) under Bombyx mori (domestic silkworm). Its description in RNAcentral is "ovarian small RNA-17237". Lineage: Eukaryota; Metazoa; Arthropoda; Insecta; Lepidoptera; Bombycidae. The record is from RNAcentral.